GUAGUACUCCCUCUGUUCCGAAUUACUUGUCGCAGCUACGGAUGUAUCUACAUGUAUUUUAGUUUUAGAUACAUCUAUUUCUGCGACGAGUAAUUUGAAACGGAGGGAGUAGAAA
This is a non-coding RNA of Triticum aestivum (bread wheat), 115 nucleotides long. NCBI's taxonomy places the organism in Eukaryota, Viridiplantae, Streptophyta, Magnoliopsida, Poales, Poaceae. The record is from Rfam.